GGGGAUUUUCCGCAAUGGGCGAAAGCCUGACGGAGCAAUACCGCGUGAGGGAGGAAGGCUCUUGGGUCGUAAACCUCUUUUCUCAGGGAAGAAAAAAAUGACGGUACCUGAGGAAUAAGCAUCGGCUAACUCCGUGCCAGCAGCCGCGGUAAUACGGAGGAUGCAAGCGUUAUCCGGAAUGAUUGGGCGUAAAGCGUCCGCAGGUGGCAACGUAAGUCUGCUGUUAAAGAGUGAGGCUCAACCUCAUAAGAGCAGUGGAAACUACAUCGCUAGAGUACGUUCGGGGCAGAGGGAAUUCCUGGUGUAGCGGUGAAAUGCGUAGAGAUCAGGAAGAACACCGGUGGCGAAAGCGCUCUGCUAGGCCGUAACUGACACUGAGGGACGAAAGCUAGGGGAGCGAAUGGGAUUAGAUACCCCAGUAGUCCUAGCCGUAAACGAUGGAUACUAGGCGUGGCUUGUAUCGACCCGAGCCGUGCCGUAGCUAACGCGUUAAGUAUCCCGCCUGGGGAGUACGCACGCAAGUGUGAAACUCAAAGGAAUUGACGGGGGCCCGCACAAGCGGUGGAGUAUGUGGUUUAAUUCGAUGCAACGCGAAGAACCUUACCAAGGCUUGACAUGUCGCGAAUCUUCUGGAAACAGAAGAGUGCCUUCGGGAGCGCGAACACAGGUGGUGCAUGGCUGUCGUCAGCUCGUGUCGUGAGAUUUUGGGUUAAGUCCCGCAACGAGCGCAACCCUCGUUUUUAGUUGCCAGCAUUAAGUUGGGCACUCUAGAGAGACUGCCGGUGACAAACCGGAGGAAGGUGGGGAUGACGUCAAGUCAGCAUGCCCCUUACGUCUUGGGCUACACACGUACUACAAUGCUACGGACAGAGGGCAGCGAGCACGCGAGUGCAAGCAAAUCCCGUAAACCGUGGCUCAGUUCAGAUCGCAGGCUGCAACUCGCCUGCGUGAAGGUGGAAUCGCUAGUAAUUGCAGGUCAGCAUACUGCAGUGAAUUCGUUCCCGGGCCUUGUACACACCGCCCGUCACACCAUGGAAGCUGGUAGUGCCCGAAGUCAUUACUCCAACCUUUCGGGGAGGAGGAUGCCUAAGGCAGGACUGGUGACUGGGGGAAGUCGUAACAAGGUAGCCGUACCGGAAGGUGUGGCUGGAUCACCUCCUU
This 1161-nucleotide ribosomal RNA is filed under the name Mojavia aguilerae ATA2-1-KO23. RNAcentral describes it as "bacterial SSU rRNA". It matches the Rfam family "Bacterial small subunit ribosomal RNA", at positions 357 to 1532 of the family's 1533-position model. The record is from RNAcentral. Lineage: Bacteria; Bacillati; Cyanobacteriota; Cyanophyceae; Nostocales; Nostocaceae.